Molecule: RNA transcript, 2304 nt
Organism: Brassica rapa (field mustard)
Lineage: Eukaryota; Viridiplantae; Streptophyta; Magnoliopsida; Brassicales; Brassicaceae
Gene name: lysine-specific demethylase JMJ25
Source: RefSeq, a predicted model, not a curated record
UUAACGGAAGAAUUUGAAGAUAAUUCGUGGAGGCAGCUAGGCCCAGUUUCCAUGGCCCAUCUGAAGGCAAUGCCAGUGAGAGUUCAAAGGCUGUGCAUGGUGGUGCUGUGUGGGACAUCUUUCGAAGAGAGGAUGUUCCAAAACUUAUUUGAGUAUUUGAAAAAGCACGAGCAUGAGUUCUGUCACCUCUAUAACAAACCUGUAAAACCUUUGCUAAGGUGAAUGGUUGAUAUAUGAUAUUUUCUGUAUGCAGAUAUAGAACCAUGGACAUUUGAGCAACAUCUCGGCGAAGCUGUUUUCAUCGCUGCAGGUUGUCCUUACCAAGUUAGAAAUAGACAGGUAAAGUACUUGGUUAAAAACUAUUUUUACUCACAAGGGUCUGCCCUCUUUGCCCUUUCACUGUUUUCUCUUUGCCCUUUCACUGUUUUCUCUUUGCCCUUUCACUGAUCCCUAAAUUUGAAACUGUUUACAGUCUUGCAUAAAGGUGGCACUAGGUUUUAUCUCUCCCGAAAGCAUAGAAGAAUGCAUUAGGCUGACACAAGAGUACAUGAGGUUGCCAAAAGACCACAAAUUCAGCAAAGAUAAAUUAGAGGUACUUUUAUUAUAUCUGAUCGUCGUUUUUUGAAGGUAGAUACCUAACGUGGACCGCUCUUGGCACUGCAUUUGUAGAUUCAGAAAAUAGUUCUGCAUGCCGCUAGCUCAGCCAUAAAAGAAGCACAAAGUCUAAUGCAAAACUCCUAGACGCAGUGGUGGUGCUAACAAAAAAGACUCUCAAGGGGUUUGUUUUUAAAAGCUUAUCAAUGCUUGUGAAGCCCCAAGAAACAGCCUGGCGAUGCUCUGCUAUAAGUACAGUUGUAAACAAGUGUGUUCAUAUUACCUCUAAAAGCUUGGCCUCUGUUCUUUAACCAUUCCCGGAUAAUAUUAGUUCACGACUUAUCUUGAACACCAAAACUUACAACCGUUGUACAUUAUUUAACAAAAUGGGUUUGAGAUCAGAGGCAAAUGAUAGUAAGGGUUAAUUGGUUUGUGACCCAUUAUUGUUGUGGCCCACAACUUGUGGGCUCAGUUAUGUACAAACUUGUCUAAAAGUUUCACCUUCUUAUCUCUGCAUCAGAAGCAGCCCACCGAAAAUUUGUUAGUCUCACGUCAGAUAUAAAUUUGAUAGUUUUUCACUUAUUCUUUUAUUCAUAUUAACUGAAAGUGAGUAAAAAUAAAUUAAGAAUUGGAGAGUAUAAGAAACAAUGUUUUAAAAAUUGGACUGGGAGUUCAAUCGGUUUAAUAUGGUUUGAUCAGGUCGGAUCUGGUUUACAAAUAUAUAUAUAUAUAUACAUAAAUUUAAAAUAAUUAUAGUAAAUAUGAUAUAUAAGUAGAAUAUGAAUAUAAUCAAAUAUGAACACUGGAAAUAUUAACUAUCUAUUUUGUACAUCUGGCUCCUAAUAUUUUCAUCCAAUUCAUUGACUUUGGUGAAAUUUUAGAGUUUUUUUUUGUUUUUUUCAAAAUAAAAAAAAUAGUUUUAUUGUCUAUGUCAUAAAACCAACAUUAAAUAGUCAAUUUAGUAUAUAAUAUUUUCUUAUAAUUCAAUUUUUCUUUCCUAAUUUAAACCAUAAUAUUUGGUAUCUAAACAAAAAAAUAUUUCAUUCCUUUUAUAUUCUAUUGAUUUACUUCCACACAAAUGUAAUAUAUAUAUUUUUGGUUUUAACAGUUUUAUCUUCAUAAUUCUCAUCUUUAAAUCUAGCGAUUACUAAUUCGUUAUUAUUGUCAGUGUCUUGUCUUUUUUCUCGGACGCUACAUGUUCUUUGUUCCACAUCGUCUCAUCUGAAGUUUCAUAAACCUUUUCGCUAUCAUUCUCUCGUUGGUAAAAAUCUAAAACCUUUGUCUUACCGAUUCACGAUUUCUUCAGAUUUAUCAUUUUCAUCUUCGUUUAUAUUUUAGAAUAAUUUUUCAGAUAUGUCGAUAUUUCUAUAUUUUUGGUUGUUUAUUUUUUCUCUUUCUCUGUUUAAUUUCCAUAUUAUCGGAAGCAAAAAAAAUAACUUGAUUUAAAGAUUUUUGAUGAAUGUUUAGUAACCAAUUUAUAAAAUUUAUGAGAAAUUUGUCAAUAAAUUAGGCAUAAUAUAUACUCUAUCACCGAGAUAAGAAAUGAAACACACAAAAAAAAAGGUAAGGAUGAAGACGUAGAUUACGGUUACAAAAAAAAAAAGUGAAGACGUAGAUUAUAGACUACAUGCUUUAUAGAUUAAGGAAAUCUAUACUAUACUAAAAGGGGGAUAUAAGCCAUGGAGAGGGUGUCCACAUAGUAUAGAAAAA